GCAUUAAUGGGGUAGUGGUAACCUCGAUCGUUGCCACUAAACGAAUUCGAUCGGCCCCCGGUUCAAUUCCGGGUUAAUGCA
RNAcentral lists this transfer RNA (81 nucleotides) under Wallemia ichthyophaga. RNAcentral describes it as "tRNA-Gly". The record is from RNAcentral. RNAcentral also lists the same sequence under 1 other name. Lineage: Eukaryota; Fungi; Basidiomycota; Wallemiomycetes; Wallemiales; Wallemiaceae.